AUGAGCAUUAUAUGUUGGAACUGGCGAGGAUUGAGGUCGUCCUCGAUAGUUGGCAAGCUUCGCUGGCUUGUGAAGCUUCACCGACCCACCCUCCUCUUUUUGUCUGAAACGAAGAUGAGGGAUUCCCGUGUCCGUAAUUUUAUGUGGUCUUUAGGUUUUUCUGGUUGCUUUGCUAUCAGUUCAUAGGGUCAAAGUGGUGGACUAGCUCUUUUUUGGAAGGAUUCGGCGAGUGUAUCUCUGAAUGCAUGCAAUUCGAGAUGUAUUUAUGUUCAUGUAUCUUCUGACUUGGCUCCUACAUGGAGAGCUAUUUUUAUGGGGAACCAAGGAGAAAAGAUAUAG
Molecule: ribosomal RNA, 339 nt
Filed under: Triticum aestivum (bread wheat)
Lineage: Eukaryota; Viridiplantae; Streptophyta; Magnoliopsida; Poales; Poaceae
Description: partial small subunit ribosomal RNA
Source: RNAcentral